RNAcentral lists this unclassified non-coding RNA (106 nucleotides) under uncultured fungus. RNAcentral describes it as "partial contains ITS1 and 5.8S rRNA". The record is from RNAcentral. Lineage: Eukaryota; Fungi.
AGAUUGUGCUUCGACGCUCCGGCGUCGUGUUUAUGCAGUGCAGAGUCCGUCGUCUGAACCAGAAAUAAAGGAUUAAAACUUUCAACAAAGGAUCUCUUGGCUCUCG